Molecule: long non-coding RNA, 500 nt
Filed under: Ananas comosus (pineapple)
Lineage: Eukaryota; Viridiplantae; Streptophyta; Magnoliopsida; Poales; Bromeliaceae
Description: long non-coding RNA (ACOM_LNC043839)
Source: RNAcentral
UUGCUUAAUUGAGUGCGCAAAGUCCAUUUCUGCAUUCAUUUCAUGCAAAAAUAACUCUGACUCAGUCCGACACUCUCCAUAUGUGUCGACCAGUCACUAAUACUGAAACCAAUCCGAUACCAAACCCCCGGGACACUACAGACAAUUUAAUAAUAUUGUGUUAUUUAACUAAAAUAUACUUUCUAAUAUUAAUUAUAAAUUAAAUAUAAUAUUAACUACCCACCGCAUUGCGCGGGUACCUUAACUGGUAAACUUUAAAAUAGAAAGAGUAUUAAUUCUACAAUUUUACAUAACGAAUAAUUUUAUAACUAGCGUUGCUAAAUUUACUGUUGAUGUUUGGGCAAGAAAAAAUUUUCAUUUUAAAUUUUUAUAAUAAAUUUUUAUAAUAAACAAAAGUAAUAUGAAAUGUAGGAAUAAGUUAGCUGAUUGAUAACAUUAAGAAAAUAUUAGUUUAGAAUUUAAAUUUGUUAUCUUCUAAUAUUAAGAAAAAUAGCCGGUGU